Molecule: ribosomal RNA, 425 nt
Filed under: uncultured Eubacterium sp.
Lineage: Bacteria; Bacillati; Bacillota; Clostridia; Eubacteriales; Eubacteriaceae
Description: bacterial SSU rRNA
Rfam family: Bacterial small subunit ribosomal RNA
Source: RNAcentral
UGGGGAAUAUUGCGCAAUGGGGGCGAACCCUGACGCAGCAAUACCGCGUGAGUGAAGAAGGUUUUCGGAUCGUAAAGCUCUGUUAUUGGGGAAGAAAACAUGACGGUACCCAAUGAGGAAGUCCCGGCUAACUACGUGCCAGCAGCCGCGGUAAUACGUAGGGGACAAGCGUUGUCCGGAAUGACUGGGCGUAAAGGGCGCGUAGGCGGUCUAUUAAGUCUGAUGUGAAAGGUACCGGCUCAACCGGUGAAGUGCAUUGGAAACUGGUAGACUUGAGUAUUGGAGAGGCAAGUGGAAUUCCUAGUGUAGCGGUGAAAUGCGUAGAUAUUAGGAGGAACACCAGUGGCGAAGGCGGCUUGCUGGACAAAUACUGACGCUGAGGUGCGAAAGCGUGGGGAGCGAACAGGAUUAGAUACCCUGGUAGU